AAUUAGAUGGCUGAAAAACCAAAGCAAUGGUCUCUUAAACCAUUAUUAACAAUAGUAGACCAAGGUACUACUUCUAAUUG
This 80-nucleotide transfer RNA is filed under the name Xibalbanus tulumensis. RNAcentral's name for it is "tRNA-Lys". It matches the Rfam family "tRNA". Rfam says of the family: Transfer RNA (tRNA) molecules are approximately 80 nucleotides in length. Their secondary structure includes four short double-helical elements and three loops (D, anti-codon, and T loops). Further hydrogen bonds mediate the characteristic L-shaped molecular structure. tRNAs have two regions of fundamental functional importance: the anti-codon, which is responsible for specific mRNA codon recognition, and the 3' end, to which the tRNAs corresponding amino acid is attached (by aminoacyl-tRNA synthetases). tRNAs cope with the degeneracy of the genetic code in two manners: having more than one tRNA (with a specific anti-codon) for a particular amino acid; and 'wobble' base-pairing, i.e. permitting non-standard base-pairing at the 3rd anti-codon position. Lineage: Eukaryota; Metazoa; Arthropoda; Remipedia; Nectiopoda; Speleonectidae. The record is from RNAcentral.